Molecule: ribosomal RNA, 253 nt
Filed under: uncultured bacterium
Lineage: Bacteria
Description: partial 16S ribosomal RNA
Rfam family: Bacterial small subunit ribosomal RNA
Source: RNAcentral
UACAUGUGGGGCAAGCGUUGUUCGGAAUUACUGGGCAUAAAGGGUGCGUAGGCGGCUUUGUAAGUCAGUGGUGAAAUAUGGCAGCUCAACUGUCAGGGUGCCAUUGAUACUGCGGAGCUUGAGUACAGAUGAGGUAGGCGGAAUUGACGGUGUAGCGGUGAAAUGCUUAGAUAUCGUCAAGAACACCGAUAGCGAAGGCAGCUUACUAGGCUGUAACUGACGCUGAGGCACGAAAGUGUGGGGAUCAAACAGG